AUUGAACGCUGGCGGUAGGCCUAACACAUGCAAGUCGAACGGCAGCACAGUAAGUGCUUGCGCUUACGGGGGGCGAGGGGCGGGCGAGUGAUGAGAACAUGGGUGUCUGCUUUUUAGAGGGGGAGGACGCGGGGGCAAUUACGCUAUAAGUGCAGAGGGCGUACGGGUGAGAGCAUGGGAUCUUCGGCCAUUACGCGAGCGAAGGACGCAAUGUCGGAUUAGCUAGUUGGUGGGGUAAAGGCCCACCAAGGCGACGAUCCGUAGCUGGUCUGAGAGGAUGAUCAGCCACACUGGAACUGAGACACGGUCCAGACUCCUACGGGAGGCAGCAGUGGGGAAUAUUGGACAAUGGGCGCAAGCCUGAUCCAGCCAUACCGCGUGGGUGAAGAAGGUCUUCGGAUUGUAAAGCACUUUUGUUUGGGAAGAAAAGCAGUAAGUUAAUACCUCGCUGUUUUGACGGUACCAACAGAAUAAGCACCGGCUAACUUCGUG
RNAcentral lists this ribosomal RNA (492 nucleotides) under uncultured bacterium. RNAcentral describes it as "partial 16S ribosomal RNA". It matches the Rfam family "Bacterial small subunit ribosomal RNA", at positions 30 to 507 of the family's 1533-position model. The record is from RNAcentral.